AACGAACGCUGGCGGCAUGCCUAACACAUGCAAGUCGAACGAGACCUUCGUGUCUAGUGGCGCACGGGUGCGGAACGCGUGGGAAUCUGCCCUUCGGUUGGGAAUAACUGAGAUAAAUUUCAGCUAAUACCUUAUAAUGUCUGCGGACCAAAGAUUUAUCGCCGAGGUAUGAGCCCGCGUAGGAUGAGUUAGUUGGUGGUGUAAUGGCCUACCAAGCCGACGAUCCUUAGCUGGUCUGAGAGGAUGAUCAGCCACACUGGGACUGAGACACGGCCCAGAAUACUACGGGAGGCAGCAGUGGGGAAUCUUGGAAAAUGGGCGAAAGCCUGAUCCAGCAAUGCCGCGUGAGUGAUGAAGGCCUUAGGGUUGUAAAGCUCUUUUACCCGGGAUGAUAAUGACAGUACCGGGAGAAUAAGCUCCGGCUAACUCCGUG
RNAcentral lists this ribosomal RNA (433 nucleotides) under uncultured bacterium. Its description in RNAcentral is "partial 16S ribosomal RNA". It matches the Rfam family "Bacterial small subunit ribosomal RNA", at positions 29 to 507 of the family's 1533-position model. The record is from RNAcentral.